Molecule: ribosomal RNA, 422 nt
Filed under: uncultured bacterium
Lineage: Bacteria
Description: bacterial SSU rRNA
Rfam family: Bacterial small subunit ribosomal RNA
Source: RNAcentral
UAAGGAAUGUUGGACAAUGGAGGCAACUCUGAUCCAGCCAUGCCGCGUGAAGGAAUAAGGCCCUAUGGGUUGUAAACUUCUUUUAGACGGGACAAAACCCCUUCACGUGUAAAGGGUUGAUGGUACUGUCAGAAUAAGCAUCGGCUAACUUCGUGCCAGCAGCCGCGGUAAUACGAAGGAUGCAAGCGUUAUCCGGAAUUAUUGGGUUUAAAGGGUGCGUAGGCGGACUAAUAAGUCAGUGGUGAAAGCCUGCAGCUUAACUGCAGAAUUGCCAUUGAUACUGUUAGUCUUGAGUACAGUUGAGGUAGGCGGAAUGUGUCAUGUAGCGGUGAAAUGCUUAGAUAUGACACAGAACACCGAUUGCGAAGGCAGCUUGCUAAGCUGUAACUGACGCUGAGGCACGAAAGCGUGGGGAGCAAACA